UACGAAGGGGGCUAGCGUUGUUCGGAAUUACUGGGCGUAAAGGGCGCGUAGGUGGCUUGGCAAGUUGGGUGUGAAAGCCCAGGGCUCAACCCUGGAAUUGCAUUCAAGACUGCUUUGCUUGAAUUCGGUAGAGGUUGGUGGAAUUCCCAGUGUAGAGGUGAAAUUCGUAGAGAUUGGGAAGAACACCCGUGGCGAAGGCGGCCAACUGGACCGACAUUGACACUGAGGCGCGAAAGCGUGGGGAUCAAACAGG
This 253-nucleotide ribosomal RNA is filed under the name uncultured bacterium. RNAcentral's name for it is "partial 16S ribosomal RNA". It matches the Rfam family "Bacterial small subunit ribosomal RNA", at positions 524 to 776 of the family's 1533-position model. The record is from RNAcentral.